CGGUAUACAUUCAAUUUAAUCCAGUGAGUGAAGGACAUUACUCGAGCACAGAGAUUUAAAUUUAAAUUAUACUUAAAAAUGAAAGUAUUCGCUUUGGUGGUUUUAACUAAUGGUUUGUUCAUACUUUUAAUGGGCGAAUCUGAAGCAUUUGAAAAACUAAAAAAACUUUACUCGCUCGAAAAUGGCAAUUGUCAAUCUGAACGGGCGAUCGUUAUUCUAAAUAAAGACAAGAAAGAGAACAAAUUUCGUGAGUACAAUAAAAUUUUAUACAUUUUUUAACUUUUUUAGCUGACUUCUUUUAGCUAUUAACAAAAACUACACCUUUUCCAUAAACAACGACUACUAUUUCUGUUGAGACUUCUUCAGCUUCUUCAUCAAUUAAAUUGGAACCUGAUGACCUUUACGUUGAUGGUUCUGGAUCUAACAUUGAUGGUUCUGGAUCUGGUAGUGGAGCGAUUGAUGGAAGUUCUCUUCUAGCACCUGGAGAUUCAGACAGUGAACUUUAAAUUAUAAAAAUUUCAUCCCACAUCACUACAUAAACUCAUAAAUUUUUAAUGUUUGUUUGAUAUGAAAAUAUAUUUAUCAAACUCUGUACUUUUUAACUUAAUAAAAAAUAUCCAUGGAAGAAGAAUUUGAUUGAGUGCCAACUCUUCUGAAAGCCUGAAAGAGUUCUUCAAUAAAAAUUUUUUAACGACUAGUUUCAAAAUUUAAAACAACGACACAAAAUCCAUCACUUUUCAUUCGUGGAACUGAAAAUAACAUAUGAGUUCCAAUUUUCGAUGACGCGUUAUUUUCUUAUCUCCCACACGUCCUUCAUAAAUAUUCACAGCCGAUCGUUUUCACAACAUCCAAAUGGCUAAAAAAUAAAAAAAAUAACAAAAUAAAAAAUAAUAUCACAAUCUCCGUGGAAAUUAAUGCGUUGCACGUUAUUAUACCCCAGCAGACAGUCUAACAAUAAAAGAAAAUAAAUAAAAAAGAUGAAAAAAAAAAAGACCCUACCACACCCCGACAACAUCUUAAUUCGUGAUAAAAGGUAUUAGGAGACGAAAGCUGUUUGGGUGGCUCCUUUUCGCACUGGCGGGCUCACCAAACUCUCUUACAUUUAUACCCUCUUUCUCCGAGCAGAGGACUUGUACCUCUGGAGCAAAGUUCCUCAGCAAUAAACCUCCAGUGUCCAACGUAUGCUCACAAGACACGCAGCCCAAUUCUUUUUAUUCUUCUUAAUCAUCGUCUUCGUUACUCUUCCAAGUAUCCGUGGACCGCGACAAGAUUAGCAUCAUUCUCGGGGUUACACGCGAAUGGGACGACCGACCAAUAGCGAACCGGACUACUGGCCUUUCCUCAUUAGUAAUUACCACCUUCGAAGCCGAAGACCAAAAAAAUUUUGAAUAAAACGUUGACAAAACAAGAGAAUACGUUACUCUGCCGAAUCAAGAUUGCUUUUGG
Molecule: long non-coding RNA, 1446 nt
Organism: Cotesia glomerata
Lineage: Eukaryota; Metazoa; Arthropoda; Insecta; Hymenoptera; Braconidae
Exons: 3
Source: RefSeq, a predicted model, not a curated record